GACGAACGCUGGCGGCGUGCUUAACACAUGCAAGUCGAACGGAAAGGCCCUGCUUUUGUGGGGUGCUCGAGUGGCGAACGGGUGAGUAACACGUGAGUAACCUGCCCUUGACUUUGGGAUAACUUCAGGAAACUGGGGCUAAUACCGGAUAGGAGCUCCUGCUGCAUGGUGGGGGUUGGAAAGUUUCGGCGGUUGGGGAUGGACUCGCGGCUUAUCAGCUUGUUGGUUGGGUAGUGGCUUACCAAGGCUUUGACGGGUAGCCUGCCUGGGAGGGUGACCGGCCACACUGGGCCUGAGCUACGGCCCAGACUCCUACGGGAGGCAGCAGUGGGGAAUAUUGCACAAUGGGCGGAAGCCUGAUGCAGCAACGCCGCGUGCGGUAUGACGGCCUUCGGGUUGUAAACCGCUUUCGCCUGUGACGAAGCGUGAGUGACGGUAAUGGGUAAAGAAGCACCGGCUAACUACGUG
Molecule: ribosomal RNA, 468 nt
Filed under: uncultured bacterium
Lineage: Bacteria
Description: partial 16S ribosomal RNA
Rfam family: Bacterial small subunit ribosomal RNA
Source: RNAcentral